Long non-coding RNA from Mus musculus (house mouse), 11034 nucleotides. RefSeq annotates it as predicted gene, 36917. The record is from RefSeq and is a predicted model, not a curated record. Lineage: Eukaryota; Metazoa; Chordata; Mammalia; Rodentia; Muridae. The transcript is spliced from 3 exons.
GAAGGAGAACGGAGGAGGAGAAAACCACCUGAUAACGUGGCCUCUAAAAAAACGACCUGACUGAGAAGUGUGUGUUUCAAGUCUUUAUAAAAGUCAGUAACUUCCUGUAUGCUGUUAUGUUAGCAUUCUGGGGCAUACACAAUACAUGAAAUAUCCCAGUUAUUGUAAAUGUCAGAAAAGGUGUGAGUCAUUGGAUCUUUUAUCUUAUCAUUAACUUUCCUGCGCUUAGUCUACUGCAUGCCUUGAUGUUAGACUGCUGAUGUUGAGGCACACCGAGUUGUUAAAUUUCCUUGGGUAUUUGACAAGUACACACCUGCCUCAACAUGGUGAUACACUUCCCGCUAGACUGUUGAGCAAGGUCCUGCAGAGAGAGGGUUCCUGGUUUCAAGUGUCUCUCCCUGGCUCCCGGGCAUACAUGGAGGCAUUAGAGGCACUCGGGCUGGAUAACAGAUAUAUGGUUCCCGUGGAUUUUAUUCACGUUUAGAAAUAGUUUUUAUUUCCACUAAUCUACCGGUUACCCCUUCUUUGAGUCCAUUGUCCCAUAGUUCACUUUAGCUGGAGAGGACACAGCCAUUGUGUGGGUGAUGGAACUUGGCGGGUCGGUGUUUCUUUCAUCUGCUUGUUGUCUGUCCUUACGGUUGCUGGCCACUUCUCCCAUGUGGGAAGCAAGGCGGGGGUGUGUCAUCAACCCCUGUUCUGUGCUAACCGGACAGUGGAGUUUGGGAUUCCUUUUUAUGUACAAAAUUCUGACCAGAAUUCCCUCUCGUCUAUAGUCUCUCACUCAGUCCUCUGCCCAAAUAUAUAUGUUUCACCUUUGAAGUUUUCUAUAUUGUAGUCUAGGUAGUUAGCACAAGACUUUCCUUCUAAUAUUGUUUUUCCUGAGGCAGGGCUUCUCUGUGUAGCACUGGCUGUCCUGGAGCUCGCUCUGUAGACCAGGCUGGGGAUCAGUCACCUUCUGAUUCCUGUUAACUAACUUCUGUCCUCAGCCCUCAGCUCCCCUCACCUCUCCACAGUGUUCCCGGCAGCCAUUCCUCACUUUCUACCAAGCAUAUAGUAAUCAAAACCCAAUUCCUGCCGUUACUGACCAACCCAGACACUAGCAAGGCAGAGAGGUCAAUCAGCCAGGAUUCCGUCCUUGGGGGUUUGCAUCGCAGGUCAAAGAAGACGCAGGAGCACGAGACUCCUGAGAAAUGUGUUAGAAGCCGCGAUUCAGGUUCAUGGCGUGUCUGGAGGCUGAGAGGAGUGUUUGAAAGAUUCCUUUUGGAGAGUCUUCCUCUGCCUCGUCGUUGAAAGGCAGUUUUGCCAGGUGGAAUCCUCUCUAGCAUCUUGUACAGAUGUCCCUCCACGGUAGGUUCCUUUAUCUGAGAUAGGCGUUUGCUGUGUAGCCCUGGCUGGCUUAGAACUCACUGUGUAGACCAGGCUGGCCUCCGACUUGCCUCUGCUUUCCCAGUGCUGAGAUUACAGGCAGAUGUGCCACUCUGUUGAAAAUUGGUGGUCAUUUGUUUUGAAUGUGUCUUUCUUUAAUUGACAUGCCAUAGCUUUCGAGUGUGUAGCUGUGGUGUUGUCAGUGGGUGUAACCACCACUCUAGCCAGACUCUCUGUGUCUUUGGCAUCAGCACCUCUUCCCCAACAGGGACUCCAGCUAGCCAUAGCCGUAUGCCAAACAGCGAGACCCUGCUCCACAGAUCCUCUGCUUUCCCCAGCUAAUAUUUUAGCUUUGAGUUCAUCUGUUUUUAAGUUUCUCCAUAUUGUACCUACUAUGUUGACCUGUUUAUUGAUUUUCAGCACUCAUAUAGAGGCCCACAGCUGGCACUCCAGUGCCAGGGAAUCUGAUGCCCUCUUCUGGCCUCUAAGGGUACCGUAUGUUGUACAUAGACAUGUGUGCUGGGCAAAGCAUCCAUACACAUUACAAAAACCAACCAACCAACCACUCAUACACAUUACAGAAACAAGCAAGCAAGCAAAGAAAACAAACACAAAACAAAUAAACAACCCCAAAACUGGAACAUUUAAAACAAACCACCUACAGAAAACCAAUCUUGUCAUCAUUUGCCCUUUUUCCUAGCGUGUACAUCUCUGUUGAAGUUCUCUAUGUAUUCGGGUACGCUGCCCGAGUUCCACUCCAUCCUGUGAAUCAGUCAGGUUACAGUUUGAGUCACCACUUAAUGUCCCUUUUGAUGAUGGAACUCCUGGUAGGUCAUUUCUGGAUCUAGCUUGGUGGUGUCAGCACUUGACUGCGGGUGGUUUUCACCCUUUGGUUAUCUCAUAACUUUAUCAUAGCAAGGACUGAGAUAGUUUUUUCUUAAUUAAUUAAUUACAUUUAUUUAUUUAUUUAUUUAUUUAUUGUGUGUGUGUGUGUGUGUGUGUGUGUGUAUGGGUAGGUGUGUGCCGUGGAGCACUUGUGGAAGUCAGAAGGUAGUUUUCUGUAUUUGUUCUCCCUGUGUGGGUUCUGGGGAUUGAACUCGGGCUGUCAGGCUUGGCAGCAGGCGCCUUAAUCUGCUGAGGCAUCCCAGUGGCUGAGAUAGUAGUUCUUUUUGUUACUCUUUGUUUGUUUCUGGAGGCAAGAUUCACCUGAUGUUCAUGUGGCAUUUUACUGUCUACAGAACUAAGGAUGGCCCUGAACUUUUUUCUUCUGUCUCUUGAGCGCUAUGCUUAUAGGUGUGCACCGCCGCCAUGCCUGGUUUCUGUGCUCCUGGGACUGAGCCCAGCGUUUUGUGCAUGAUCGACAGUCACUGCCCAAAGGAGCUACACCGCCAAGCUAGCUGCUCCCUGGCCUUAAUUUUAAAAGAGAAGACCAGGUCUGUUCAGUCUGUGGUUCUGGGUAGCUACGAGUGUGGCCCAACCUAAAAGUCCGUCAGUACGCCAUUGUGACUGUGACUUCUAUUACUAUUGCUUCUGUCUGUCUCAUCAUUUGGUGGCAUGGCUCUCGUAGGUGAGCUUGGCAGAUAGCAGCAUGUGGGAGUGCUAAAGGCUGAACCUGCUUAUGCUGUGGAUGUGACUCCAUGUAUCUGUCACGCGGUUGGUGGAGGAGGGCUGAGUUUAGUUAGUAACUACCAGCUUCUCCAGGGCCAGCUACUCCUCAGGCUGAGUAUGGGACGUGCUUCUAUUUGUCUACGUUGAGCUUACGUUGCUUUACCUGAGUGUUGUCAGAUGAAAGUUAAAAAGUUGGACGAAGUCUAACUUUAUAAUUUUUAUCUUUUAUGUCUAACCAGCAGCUGUUGAAUGUUUUAUAGAAUCCUGGGGAACUGCACAGACACAGGAACUGCACAGAUAGACACUCCUGUGGGGGCCACAGACACGGAGAGCGGCCACCCACUUACGGGGACUGUUAAGCUCAGUGUGGAUUGCCUACUGCUGGUGCUCCCUCGUCCUCUUUUCUCUGACUUCUUCCUCACUUAGAAUAGCAUUCUUCGGAGUUCAUGCUUUGCCUGCAUAAAUCGGCCUCAAGCCUCUGCUGCUGCUGCCCCCAGCUCCCUUUUAAAGCAAGGAGGAAGAUGAUUUAUGCUGGUCCUUAAGUGUCGUUCUGUGAAGAUACUGCGGUCCCAAGCCUGGGAAUGGCACAGAGUCCCACACACCGUUCAGCCAAAUACCAAAUAGGUCAAGUGAAGUUUUCCACUAAUGCCCUCAGUGCUCACAGGGCAGGGUCAGUGCCACUGUGACCACGGCUUUUACUCUGUGCUUUUUAUUUCAUCAUAGGUCAUCCAUAGAAUCAUCCCUCGGAAGUUUAGUCUAAAUAUUUUCUUUUUCUUUAUUGAUCAUUUUUUUCUUAAUUACAUGUAUUCAAUUAUUAUUAUUAUUAUUAUUAUUAUUAUUAUUGUGGUGAUGGUGGUGGUUUGUGUUGAGGCUUCCUCCUAGUUUGGCUCAGAGAGGCGUGCUUUGUAUGAGCUACCAUUAUGUAUUCUACCACAUCAUACGCCUCCCCCUCCUCUUCCUCCUUUCUCUUUCUACCGUGUAGUCUCUGCAGUCUUCGUUCAUGCCUUCUUCCUAAUGAUGCCAUCCUAAUUAGAGGUUGUAUUGAUCAUCCUUUUUAUGUGUAUUAUACUUGCCAGACAGGGUGCUGAUUGGACACUUUCACCUGAUGCCUCACAGAGAAGCACAGAGCAGACUCUGACAUUUGCUGUGUGUUAUAAAGAGCACACAUGUAGUGCUUUAUGUCUGUUAAAGUGCUCUGUUUUUUUUUCCUGACCUCCAGGGGGCACUGCCCCCUUUUCUCUCUCAGCUUAUCUUAUAACGCCUUCUUUCCUGUAUUUUGUUUUAAAUUAAACAUUUGCUUAUUUUUUUAUUGUAUAUGUAUGGGUGUUUUGCUUGCAUAUAUGCCUGUACCAUAUCCGUGCAAUGCUCUUGGAUACUAGAAUGUCCUGGAACUAGAGUUACAGACAGUUGUUAGCUGCCAUUAUAACAUUGGGUGCUGGGAUUCAAACCCAGGUCCUUUGGAAAAACAGCCAGUGCUCUCAACCAGAGAGCUCCCCCCCCCCCCCCCCCCCAGUUUCUGUGCCGUCUUUAUAAGAGAUCUUCGCACUCAGUUCUUUUUGUGUGCUGUCUCAUUUCACCCACACAGUAUCUUGGUAGUACUUCACAGAAAUUACGAGAUUUGCUUAUGGCUGUGUUGGCUUACGCAUCUGGGGAUUUCAUGGUGAUUUUAAUGUAUCUCUGUCCUUAUUUUUAGGAGUCUUCUCAUUACACUUAAAACUAAUCAUUACACUAUGUCUACAAAAGUUAUCUGGUUGUAUGAGUUUAGGACAGAAGUUUCCUCAUGAAGACUGUUUUUUAUCAUAAAGUAGGGUGACCACAGAGAAGAAAUCCUAAUGCCCUGUUACUAUAAUUAUGCCCUCUUGGCGUCAGCCUUGUUUGGGGAGAAAGACCUCUGCUGUGGGUGGUGAAUCUUGUUGCCUGGAGAACGCUCAGAGCCAUGUGUGGUGCACACUGCAGCAAACACUGGGAUGCGGCAGCCAGCCAAGCAGUACUGUCACUUUAUGGACCUGCAUGUUUGGUCUCCGCUACUCUUAUUUAGUUUAUAGUGUGUAGACAAGAUAGCCAUGUUUAAAUUAGUUUAUGUUUCUUCUUUUGUAGCAUGGUAUAAAACUUAAAAUUACUAUCAGAGGAAGAUACAGAUGGGCAAAACUACAUCUGUUGUGACAUGAAUUCUCUUUGAUUGCUUCCUAGUAAAGUUGAAUCUCAAGGAAGCCUUAGGGCACAUGGAGAAGGCAGUGAACAGCUGGCAGGUCACACUUCUUAGUUGGUGGGACGCACACUGCUUUCCCAUGGACAGGCCAGUUUGGUACAAUGCACACCCUGUCCAACCAUCCAGCCAGGUAUAGUACAUGCAGCUCACCUCAGGAUUACUGCAGAGAAGUUGGCGAGAUUUUUCCAGAGGUGCUUAGGGGAGGACGCAUAGUGGGAUCUCAAAUAGACGGAGGGUGGAGGGGCUGAGCAGGUGGGGUACAGCAGUGACUCAGAGCAGAGUAGUCAACCCGAACAGUUCACAAUAGGCUCAACACCUGUAACAUCACCGUUUUACUGAGGAGAAGCAGGGUCAGGUUUGUGAUGUAGUCUCAGAAUAGUUGGGUCAGGUGGGCUCGGUGUUGUCACAGGGUGGAUGCUGCAGCCCACACUUGGGUCUUUCUAGUGGGUCAUCAUUUCUAAAUUCUGUAUUACUCCCAGAGAUGUUUUAGCACCUCUGCAUGAAGAGCGGCCCAGAAGCCUUUGAACUCCAUCGUUUAGGGGGUACUUACGGAGGCUUCCUGUAGGCGGUGACUAGUGGAGUAGGCUAGAGGUGAGGCUGCAAGAUAAACAAGAUUACCUGCCUGCAGACAAGGUAAUCCUUCUGCUGACAAAACCCAAUCCUGAAGCUGUCCAGGAGACACCAACCAUGAAUUUCUCCAUAUGAAAGAUGUUACCACUUAGGAGAUUCAAAGCUCAUAGUUCUGUGCUAGGACCUGGGGACAAAUAUGAAAUCUGAAUAUUGAAUGAAAUAUGACUCUUUGAUCCCCUUUCACAUCCCUUGGUGGUUGAUUCCUGAGUGCAGACGGGAUUUCAUUGAUCUUACAAAGACUGAAGACUAUUAGAGUCCUUUAAAGGCACUCUAGAGAAAAUCAAGGAUAAUACUGCCUGACUUGGGAAAAAAACUCACACAGUGAAAGAAACUUCUCAAGUUUGAAUCUAGAUGAUGAGAAAUGUUCUAUAAUAUGGGAAGUAAGGUCUUUGUGGGCCAUUUCUGUUUAUAGGUUUAUUUGUGUGUUGUGUGUGUAUGUGUGUGUGUGUUUGCUGCCCAGCACGAAUGCCCAGAAACUGACCUUGCGUCCUCUAAGAGCAGCAAGCAUUAUUAACUACUGAGGGAUGUACCUGUGAGUUUUACUAUUUAUUUAUUUUUAAGAUAAAGUCUUCCUGGCUGACCUCGAACUUGCUAUGUAGACUAGGUUGGCCUUGAACUUGAAGAGACCUGCUUGCCUCUGUCUCCAGAGUGCUAUGAUGAAAGGUGUGGAUUUUUAAGGGCUAAGUGGGGAGGCUUUCAAGGUCUUUUCGACACCGUUGUCUUAGGCUGCACGGAUCAUUAACGUGGAUGGCAGAUAGGCUUGCACAGGUGGGCAGGUAGGCUUGCACAGGUGGGCAGAUAGGCUUGCACAGGUGGGCAGGUAGGCUUGCACAGGUGGGCAGGUAGGCUUGCACAGGUGGGCAGGUAGGCUUGCACAGGUGAUUUUGUGCAGGGCUGCUGGCUGUGCGGCAGCAGUCGCCUGCGCAGGCAGCUCAUGUUAUCACAUAUGCAGGAGCUCCUUUUCUUUGUUGGAAUCCUAAUAAGAUGCUCUUUAUAAUGACAACUUCAUUUCUGAAAUAAACUAAGGGUCAGUUCUUAGGGGCUUUGCUUGUUUUUCCUCACAGCUGCCAAUGCUCUUACCUCUGGUUUCGUCGGAGUCUCCCAAGAGUUCCAGUCAGUUCUGAUCCUUCCUGGAUCACAGGUUAAGGCCCAGUCUCAGAACAUUGCUUGUCGAGAGAGGAGUCAUGAGUGCAGUUGUCGAAGUCACCCACUCUCUGCCAGCUGCUUAUAUAACCUGGGGUGCCUCUCUUCAUGCUCUGUAAUUGGUCAGAAUGACUCGGGAGAGUAUUGAUUGUUGCUAAUUGGUUUAUUAUCAAUUCAGGAAGAGCUUUAUGGACGGGAUGUAUAGGGUAGUGUGGGGCAUAGUGAACCAAGUUUCCAUGCCUUCUUUUGGCUCUCUGUUUUAGCACCCCUGCAUAUAGAGCGGCCCAGAAGCCUUUGAACUCUAUCGUUUAGGGGGUACUCAUGGAGGCUUCCUCUGGGCAGUGACUAGUGGAGUAGGCUAGAGGUGAGGCUGCAAGAUACCAGCCUGCGAACAAGGUAAUCGUUCUGCUGACAAAACCCAAUCCUGAAGCUGUCCAGGAGACAUCAACCAUGAAUUUCUCCAUAUGAAAGAUGUUACCACUUAGGGGAUUCAAAGCUCAUAGUUCUGUGCUAGGACCUGGGGACAAAGACCAAAUAUAUAAUGGGUUUUGCACUAUGCUGUGGCUUUGGGUAGAGAGAAGAAGCGAGCACCUCCUGGGACUUUUGAGAGAAUGAAGGAGCUUAAAAGGCUGUGCCCAUGGGAACAGUAGUGGCAGAUUUUGUUUUUGUUUUUAAAAUUACCACUGUUCUGGGGAGACUCUCCUUAAAAUGGCUUCUACCUGUUUUAUUUUAUUUUCAGUUUUCUGAGACAGAGUUCUUCUGUGCAGCUCUGCUGUCCAGCUCUGGCUGUCCUGGAACUCAUUCUGUAGACCAGGCUGGCCUCGAACUCUCAGAGAUCCUCCAGCCUGUGCCUCCAGAGAGCGGGGAUUAAAGAGACCAGAAGGCGGCAUCGGAUCCCCUGAAACUGCAGCUACAGAUGGCUGUGACCCGCCAUGUGGAUGCUGCGGAUUGAAUCCAGAUCCUGUGGAAGAGCAGCCAGGGCUCUGAGCCGCCGAGCCGGCUCUCCAGCCCUGUGUCUGCACUUUUAAGGUUCACUUUGUACUUCUGUUAAGUAGUUGCCUCGGCUCUACACAGACUUUGUAGGGCUCGCCUCCACGGAGCAGGUGCUUGGUGCUCCCCUGGAGUGCUCCCCAGUGCUCAGGAGCAGGUGCUUGGUGCUCCCCUGGAGUGCUCCCCAGUGCUCAGGAGCAGGUGUUUGGUGCUCCCCUGGAGUGCUCCCCCUUGCUCAUGGUGUUUGUAUUCAUUCCAGAAGCAUUUGCUUCAUCUUUUCAGAAGAAAACGGAAGCAAACUCUUUUUUGUUUUUAAAGAUUUAUUUAUUAUUAUACAUAAGGACACUGUCGCUGACUUCAUACGCACCAGCAGAGGGCGUCAGAUCUCAUUACAGACGGUUGUGAGCCACCACGUGGUUGCUGGGAUUUGAACUCAGGACCUUUAGAAGAGUAGUCAGUGCUCUUACCCACCGAGCCAUCUCUCCAGCAGAAGCAAACUCUUGAUCUUAUAUUUAGCAUUGGUUCUCCUCCAGAAGAAAUGUAUAUAUACCACAUUGUAAGGCUAAAAUCCAUUUAAAAUAUCGUUAGAUAUGAACCUGCAAAGGGAAGAAUUUUGUUGAAUGCAUGUGAUGAAAAAUUACUUCGGUCGAAAAAUAAAAAUAUUUUCCGGCGGCUUGAUUUUGAAAACAUAACUAUCGCCUCCAUGUUGACAUUUGAAGGCACAUAUGACUAAACUCGCGUAUGUAUGUAUGAAGCACAGUGCUUGCGACUGAAUUCCUUUCUGAGAUCGUUUGGAGUCACUGGUGUUAUCUCUGCCUCUCCCUAGUCACCUUGGAGACACGCAGCUUUCUCCACAGAUCAUUUGUGUGUCUGUGGGCUGAUGUGGUCUGGUCGAAGGAGCCUUUUAGUUGUAGCAACACUGGCUCCUUUGCAAGAUCUUGCUGUGCUCAGGCAAGCAGAGUCAGGUGACCCUCCGUUGUGUUUCUGAAGAGACAGGGCUUGCCCCUAUUUGAGGAAAGAGUACUACUCCAACAGCUUCAGCCAUGGGCUUGGAACAUCGCAGUGGGCCGGCCCUACUGCCGUGAGUCAUUGGUUUUUGGGAGCUGCAUCUUGGCAGAGGAAACCAGCUAGAAAUUAGAAUACUUAUUAGAUACGCAUUGUAUCAGAUGGAGUUGGAAGGACGCUUACUAAGUGCCUCUCUUCUGACCUCUCUAGAUUGUUGACAGCUAUCCACCAAUAAAUGUGGGAGAAGGGAGAGUUUCAGUAACCCCCCGCCCCAGGUGCCCUCCCCAACCCUUCCACCGUGUAAUACAGCAAAGAAAUGGCAAAACAAGCAACUGGAGAGUGGCUCUUCCCAGGGUGGGGCUGAGACUGGCUUUGUGGACACCCCACGGCAUUUCUUCCCACACCGUAUACUCUGAUCUUCCAAGUGCCAAGAGCUCCAAGGCCAUGGCAGAGGAGGGAGGCUCUCUGUACGCGCACUGUAAGAGGGCUUGAAGAAGUAGGUUUACAGCUGUUCAUAUCUCAUCAAGAGAACUUUUCCAGGCCAAACGGAAGUGCUGACAAGCUUUUUUGUGAAGAACAUUAUCAGUGCGCUGAAAGAUUUUACAUAAACUAGAAACCCUUAGACUUAUUAAUGCUUAACAGAAUUUAUUUUUGAAAAUAAAUUAUAACAAGGCAUUUGGUAAAGUUUCAUAGCUUAGUUUUUAAUGGGGGAAAUCUAAAGGAUAAUUUUGGAGUUGGAGUUCCAACUCUAACACCUAUCAAUUGAUUUUUUUUUUUUUUUGGCCUUGGAGAAAUGACUUUAUUUCUGGCAUCAUUUUUAAAUUAGUCAUUAGAAAUAGUACCUGCUUUGGAGGUUACUGUGAAUUCUGUGAGCGAAUGGACUGACGUGAGGAGCUAAAGCCAGACCCUAGCAUGUACAGACACAGGGAGUAUCGCCAUCACCAUCUCAUUUAUUACCGGUGUGCUAAGUGCGCUGGAAGGCGUACAGUGUGCAUUUGCUAAUGUCUCCAGCCUUAGAGCCCUCAUUUGUAGAGGGGCAGACAGUGAUGGCUUCUCACGCCUUGAUAGGCAGGUCUCAGGACAAAUGAACAAGUCUAUGGGAAGCCUUUAGGGCAGUAUGUAUCCCUGUAAAGGCUAGCGUCUCAGUUCAGACACCAUGCCACCUCGUUCUCACAACAGCCCUAGAGAGCGUGUGUCUGAUCUUUUUUAAGUGGUUGGGGAAUAGAGGCACCGUGUGGUGAGGAAGCCCGCUCCAGGCUGUGGAUUUAGAAUUGGGGCACAGAUCGCAGAUUCUUAGGUAAAGAAUGUUCAUAUCUUCUUUUCUUCUGUCACUACAGUAGCAGUAAGAACAUAGGAAUAACUGACGUAUAGUGUCCUGCUACCUUCCAUCUCCUUUUGGUUUGAAAAUGUGUCCCUUAUAUUUCGUGACGAGUUUUCUGACUUCUGUGUCCUUUCUGUGAACUUGACGGUAAUUGUCUUUACAGAAGCCUAAUGAGUACCUGGCCUUUUAUGUAAUUGAUACUUUCAGCGUUCAUUUCUCAGUGGAGAGGAUUUUGGUUCUUUUAUGUUGCAGCUGCCAAUUACAUGUAUGGCUUAAUGUGACUUUGGGGCCUUGCCUAUCCAGCUGAACAUGUGGGGUGUGUUCAGCUGGUUGAGGUGGAUCCUGCUGUCCCUCAGGGACAGGGGUUUCUGGACUUUCACAGGCUUGGUAGAGACUGACAACAGGCCAUUCACCCUGUAAUGCGCCCAUGGCAGAGAGCAGUUAAAUAGUGUACUAGGCAAGUGACAUGGGAGGAUUUAGGGUGUUUCACUGUGCCCACUCCCAGCUCCUGCCAACACACCUUUCUCACUGAAAGUCCACGUGGAGAGCAGAGCCUACGCUGCCUAUCUGCCUUUAAAGAAGGAUCGUCUACUUUUCCUGCUGUGUGUGAUUUCCCUUCUGAGAUACAUUCUCGAAGUCAGGCAUUCCGUAUAAACCGCUGACCUGAAGCUUCUCCCCCGCCCCUGGACACUGACAAACACACACACCGACACACACCCCGACACACCCCGACACACCCUGACACACACACACACACACACAC